UCGGUGUAACAGAAGGAACUUUUCAAUUAUACUAUUUUGUUGAUUUUACAUUACUAUUAUCUUCAAACAUUUAACUCGAUGCCGCCAUUCUGUUAGUACGCUAAAUUUAGGAUCAACAAUCAAUCAAUAAAUAAAAUAUUUAUGUACUUAGCUGUGAGAUAACAUACAUGUUUAAUCUUUGAAGUAAAAUACAUUUUUUUAUAACGCAGCUUCCGACGACAACGCAGGUACCUGCUACGCAAUCCGUGAUAUAACUCGAUACUACUAUGUAGUAAAAGUUCUGAGUAACCCCCCAAGACAGUACUGAGCAGUUUCAGUAUAGUCAGUCAUAUAUCAAAAAGGGAGAAACCUACUUCAAUUCGUUUUUUAUGUAGACAUCGAGUGAUCGUCUGCUAAAGCUAAGUACAGAAUAAGCCCAAAUUAAACUACUCUACAAACGUUUGAUGAAAUCGAUGGUAGCGUCGUAAUCAUGGUUGACAAAAUUUCAGAGGGAAGUCGGCUUAAAAGUUGUACUAGUCAAUGCAUUUAAUAAUUCUUAGUACA
Molecule: non-coding RNA, 543 nt
Organism: Schizosaccharomyces pombe (fission yeast)
Lineage: Eukaryota; Fungi; Ascomycota; Schizosaccharomycetes; Schizosaccharomycetales; Schizosaccharomycetaceae
Source: the annotation of a GenBank genome assembly